Etheostoma cragini (Arkansas darter) is the source of this 171-nucleotide long non-coding RNA. RefSeq lists it as uncharacterized. The transcript has 3 exons. The record is from RefSeq and is a predicted model, not a curated record. Lineage: Eukaryota; Metazoa; Chordata; Actinopteri; Perciformes; Percidae.
CUUUUUAAUGACUUUAAAUUGAAAUUGGGUGCUCUUGUACUUUAAGACCUCACUUCCUUUUUGCUCUCGCGAUAAUUACUACAGCCACGAGAGGUUGUCACCCAACAAGAAACGUGAUUGUGGCUCAUUAUGAGCUGCUUGCAUAAUUGACACAUAUGAUCAUUUUCUGGG